UGCAGUCGAGCGGUAGCACAGAGAGCUUGCUCUCGGGUGACGAGCGGCGGACGGGUGAGUAAUGUCUGGGAAACUGCCUGAUGGAGGGGGAUAACUACUGGAAACGGUAGCUAAUACCGCAUAACGUCGCAAGACCAAAGUGGGGGACCUUCGGGCCUCAUGCCAUCAGAUGUGCCCAGAUGGGAUUAGCUAGUAGGUGGGGUAACGGCUCACCUAGGCGACGAUCCCUAGCUGGUCUGAGAGGAUGACCAGCCACACUGGAACUGAGACACGGUCCAGACUCCUACGGGAGGCAGCAGUGGGGAAUAUUGCACAAUGGGCGCAAGCCUGAUGCAGCCAUGCCGCGUGUAUGAAGAAGGCCUUCGGGUUGUAAAGUACUUUCAGCGGGGAGGAAGGCGAUAAGGUUAAUAACCUUGUCGAUUGACGUUACCCGCAGAAGAAGCACCGGCUAACUCCGUGCCAGCAGCCGCGGUAAUACGGAGGGUGCAAGCGUUAAUCGGAAUUACUGGGCGUAAAGCGCACGCAGGCGGUCUGUCAAGUCGGAUGUGAAAUCCCCGGGCUCAACCUGGGAACUGCAUUCGAAACUGGCAGGCUAGAGUCUUGUAGAGGGGGGUAGAAUUCCAGGUGUAGCGGUGAAAUGCGUAGAGAUCUGGAGGAAUACCGGUGGCGAAGGCGGCCCCCUGGACAAAGACUGACGCUCAGGUGCGAAAGCGUGGGGAGCAAACAGGAUUAGAUACCCUGGUAGUCCACGCCGUAAACGAUGUCGAUUUGGAGGUUGUGCCCUUGAGGCGUGGCUUCCGGAGCUAACGCGUUAAAUCGACCGCCUGGGGAGUACGGCCGCAAGGUUAAAACUCAAAUGAAUUGACGGGGGCCCGCACAAGCGGUGGAGCAUGUGGUUUAAUUCGAUGCAACGCGAAGAACCUUACCUGGUCUUGACAUCCACAGAACUUAGCAGAGAUGCUUUGGUGCCUUCGGGAACUGUGAGACAGGUGCUGCAUGGCUGUCGUCAGCUCGUGUUGUGAAAUGUUGGGUUAAGUCCCGCAACGAGCGCAACCCUUAUCCUUUGUUGCCAGCGGUUAGGCCGGGAACUCAAAGGAGACUGCCAGUGAUAAACUGGAGGAAGGUGGGGAUGACGUCAAGUCAUCAUGGCCCUUACGACCAGGGCUACACACGUGCUACAAUGGCAUAUACAAAGAGAAGCGACCUCGCGAGAGCAAGCGGACCUCAUAAAGUAUGUCGUAGUCCGGAUUGGAGUCUGCAACUCGACUCCAUGAAGUCGGAAUCGCUAGUAAUCGUAGAUCAGAAUGCUACGGUGAAUACGUUCCCGGGCCUUGUACACACCGCCCGUCACACCAUGGGAGUGGGUUGCAAAAGAAGUAGGUAGCUUAACCUUCGGGAGGGCGCUU
RNAcentral lists this ribosomal RNA (1406 nucleotides) under Klebsiella sp. TP1MC. RNAcentral describes it as "bacterial SSU rRNA". It matches the Rfam family "Bacterial small subunit ribosomal RNA". Lineage: Bacteria; Pseudomonadati; Pseudomonadota; Gammaproteobacteria; Enterobacterales; Enterobacteriaceae. The record is from RNAcentral.